Long non-coding RNA from Vespula pensylvanica (western yellowjacket), 1671 nucleotides. RefSeq lists it as uncharacterized. The transcript has 3 exons. The record is from RefSeq and is a predicted model, not a curated record. Lineage: Eukaryota; Metazoa; Arthropoda; Insecta; Hymenoptera; Vespidae.
UAUACAAAAUGAAAUAUGUAGGAAUUUUCGAAAAUAAUUUUCUCUUCUAGCGAUAAGAAGAAAUUAAAACCGUUGUACAAUUUGCAGCUCGCUGAACGCGCUCAUAUCGGGGAAAAUUUCGAAGCCAAAGCGAUUAUUGAAAAAAUUUUGAACGAUGCUUUCAUAUUUCAUUGUGACACCACUCGUUUCUCACCGAUUUCCCACGAAGAGGGAGAACAAUCGAUUUUAGAGAGGCGGAACCAUAAUCCGUAAGGACAAAUAAUGACAAAGGGUCAAGAUCGUUCUCAAAACAACAUAAAACGACCUAUGAAGUGUCAAUGGAAGCUGUCAUCGUUUACAAGGUUGGAAAAAUAAACAAACCUCUGCUGACCUAGACGGAAUAUUCCGGACGAAUUAUAUCGGUCGGAGUUGAGUUAGAAGAACAACAAAAUCUAAAAGAGCAACAACAGAAAGAGAUGAUACUUAGAGGAAACACGAACGUUUUCACGAAGAUGCUACUCACCUAAUUCCGUCAGCGAUGACCUACGUUUGGAAAAUUGGAGAAACGCCAGGAGGUUCCUACCGAAGGAAGAUUCAAAGGGAUGACAUUGUUCGGAGUAAAUUCGAAGAAAAGGAAGAAAAACAGGCGCCGAAAUGGAAAGGGACCGCAUAUAAGUCGUUAAAAUCGUCCGAUGCGAUGAAAACUGACAAGAAUAGAAAUCUUGAAAAUCGAGCGAUUACUUCGGAUUUAAAAAGAAUAGAACUCUUGAAAAUCGAACGAUUAGUUCAAAUUUCUUACUAAAUUUACGGCCGUAAUGACAAUUUAAAUCACACCAAGCGGAUUCUGCAGUCAUUACUUACGAUAAGUCGACGAUAUUUUAUAAUCACAGCCUCGUGAUUUUUUCAUCAGAAUUCUUUCACCAAGUACUUCGAUUAAGUUGAAAAAAUUAGAUCUUUUCUCGAAAGUAUCUAUUCAUAUAAAAAAUAAUAUAACAGUAAUCUAUUCGCUGGAGUUAUUAACAUUAUGUACCAUUUUUGUGCAUAUAAUUUUCUUUAAUAAGAAAAGUUUCAGCUAUAUAGGAGACGAGAAAUUGCAGAGAAAAUUAAGAACUUCAUCUCAUUCUCCCUAUUUCACCAAGAAGGAAAAUUGAAAAUUGAUCCUAUCGUAAAGGAAAGAAAAAUUCACAAUCGGGUGUAUUGUAAUCCAGGAAACAUGUUGUGAGAUUCAAGUCGAAAAAUGAAGGGAGAGAGAGAGAGAGAGAAAGAGGAAGAGGGAGGAAGGAAUAGAACGAAUAAAGAGAAGAGUGAAUUUCCAUUGGUAACGAGAAAAGCCCUUGCACAAAGUUAGGAUCAUAAUCGAGGGACGGUCUUAGUGCUAUACAACUGGGUCACUCUAGUCGAAGUAACUUAUACAUACAUUCCCACGUAUCUACAUCGUAACGUCCACCAAAACUUUCCGACGGUCACUGUAUAUACUUGCUAGUAAUAAUUAUUAUCACAAAUAAAUAUCUCGAGCUAAUGAAACGACUGAAUAUUUUAAUUAUCAAGAAAAAGAUCUCUCUCCUUCAAUUCGAACGACAACUAUUACAAUAAUAGUCAUGCUUCGUAUUUGAAGUGUGGUUCGUAAUAUGACGAUCGACGAACAUUUAAUGAGUAUUUUACUUCCUUACAGUAUGAGGAAGUUCAACUUCG